UCCUACGGGGGGCAGCAGUGGGGAAUAUUGGGCAAUGGGCGCAAGCCUGACCCAGCAACGCCGCGUGAAGGAAGAAGGCUUUCGGGUUGUAAACUUCUUUUCUCAGGGACGAAGAAAGUGACGGUACCUGAGGAAUAAGCCACGGCUAACUACGUACCAGCAGCCGCGGUAAUACGUAGGUGGCAAGCGUUAUCCGGAUUUAUUGGGUGUAAAGGGCUUGUAGUCGGGUGCGCAAGACAGAUGCGAAAACUCA
Molecule: ribosomal RNA, 253 nt
Filed under: uncultured bacterium
Lineage: Bacteria
Description: partial 16S ribosomal RNA
Rfam family: Bacterial small subunit ribosomal RNA
Source: RNAcentral